This 566-nucleotide unclassified non-coding RNA is filed under the name Alternaria rosae. Its description in RNAcentral is "sequence contains 18S rRNA gene, ITS1, 5.8S rRNA gene, ITS2". The stretch from base 201 to 354 matches the Rfam family "5.8S ribosomal RNA". Lineage: Eukaryota; Fungi; Ascomycota; Dothideomycetes; Pleosporales; Pleosporaceae. The record is from RNAcentral.
UUACACAAUAUGAAGGCGGGCUGGACACCCUCCAGCCGGGCACUGCUUCACGGCGUGCGCGGCUGGAGCCGGCCCUGCUGAAUUAUUCACCCGUGUCUUUUGCGUACUUCUUGUUUCCUGGGUGGGCUCGCCCGCCAUCAGGACCAACCAUAAACCUUUUUGUAAUAGCAAUCAGCGUCAGUAACAACGUAAUUAAUUACAACUUUCAACAACGGAUCUCUUGGUUCUGGCAUCGAUGAAGAACGCAGCGAAAUGCGAUACGUAGUGUGAAUUGCAGAAUUCAGUGAAUCAUCGAAUCUUUGAACGCACAUUGCGCCCUUUGGUAUUCCAAAGGGCAUGCCUGUUCGAGCGUCAUUUGUACCCUCAAGCUUUGCUUGGUGUUGGGCGUCUUUUGUCUCCAGCUCGCUGGAGACUCGCCUUAAAGUCAUUGGCAGCCGGCCUACUGGUUUCGGAGCGCAGCACAAGUCGCGCUCUUGCCCAGCCAAGGUCAGCGUCCAGCAAGCCUUUUUUCAACCUUUGACCUCGGAUCAGGUAGGGAUACCCGCUGAACUUAAGCAUAUCAAUAA